Molecule: long non-coding RNA, 1368 nt
Organism: Pipra filicauda (Wire-tailed manakin)
Lineage: Eukaryota; Metazoa; Chordata; Aves; Passeriformes; Pipridae
Exons: 7
Source: RefSeq, a predicted model, not a curated record
GGGGGGGGCGGGCGGCGGCCGCAGCCUUUGUACGGGGCGGGAGAAGGAGCCCCCACUCCCCGGGACAGCCGGGGCACCGGUGAGGAUCCCUCGUUCUCCCUCGGCAGUUUCCCGGAGAGGCGGCGGGGAAGGGCCGACGAUGGACCUCGAUGGGCCGGACGCCGCCCGCCGGGAGGCAGAGCUGGAGCGCGGCCGCUACUUGAGCCGCCGGGCCGUGGCCCAGGAGCAGCUGGCGCGAAUAAAGGAGCACAAGGAUCAGGCAUAUCUGGCCAAGCUAGAAAACAAAAGAAAAGGGGAACAAAUACAGAGAUCGACCCAAUUGUACCAACUGGAAAUUCAGAGAGGAAAAGAAAAGGAACAGGAGGAAAAAGUUGAAUGGCAGAGGCUGCAUCAUGAAUAUGUAGCUGAACAGAAAGUAAUUAAAGCUGAAGAGAAACAAAAAGAAGACAAAGAUGAUGAUUGGAUUAAAGCUUAUAUUAAAGGCUGAUGUAGAAGCAUACGGACAAAGCUUUUGAAAAACUAUCUGCACAGAUGAACAAGGCAUUUAAGAUUGAAGAUGACUGCCUUGUGAGAGGAGCUGCAGAGGUAGAAGCUGAAUACCAAAUGAAAAACUAGGAAAAAGAAGCAAGACAGAAGGCUGCCAUUGAAUCUAUUGCUGAAUACAGAGCCACUGUGAUUAAGAUGAAAGAGGAAAAGGAGAGACAGGAAAAAGAAAAGGAUGAGAGGGAUCGUAAUCAGUGGAUGACAGAAGACAGCAUCUACCAGGAAAUGGAAGAAGCCAAGAAACAAAGACAAUGUGAUGCAAACAUGGAAGUACAGGAAAUUCAGAUCCAGCAAAUAGCUGAAAAGCAGGCAAAAAAACAGCAGGAAAAGCAAGCAGACUUGGAUUACGAUGCUCAGAAACUGCUUUUCAUCAGGAUCAAGCAUUUUGGAGAUAAAGACAAAAUAUAUUUGACUACUAUCUAAGUAUCUACAAAAGAAAAGGAACCUUGCCAUUCUCUCCUUCCAAGUUCUUUAUGCCUGCAAAACCUAUCAGUGCCCAAUAGCUGAAGCUAACUCUGGAGCAAGUUACAAAACAUGCUGUUUGCCAAAACCUGCCUAUACUCAACUUCGGCUCAAGAAACAAGUGCCAUAGUUCACAACUGUACUUUAACUAGUCUAAUUUUAUUAUGGAACAAAGCAGUAGAUUCACUUUUUACGAGGUCAAGAGGUAACAACCACAGGUAAACUAUCAGUACUGUACUCCUAGAGUAUUGCUGGGCCUCCAGCCUUAAUUCAAACCUUACGUUUUGGCCUAAAAAAAAAAGUCUUACUGAGCAAACAAUAAAAUUGAGUAAGCUGUUUAAAACAUCUGCAUUUUAAAACAUC